Non-coding RNA from Heterocephalus glaber (naked mole-rat), 3117 nucleotides. Lineage: Eukaryota; Metazoa; Chordata; Mammalia; Rodentia; Bathyergidae. The record is from RefSeq and is a predicted model, not a curated record.
CCUCUGUCAGGAUUUCAUCAUGUUCCUCAGCUCAUCUCUGGAUUUAUCAAUCAUGAAAUGCACUAUGGGCACAGCCUGCUGUUAUCUGAAAAAUAUUUCUGAUUUCAUUUUUUCCAGAUCUUUUUUUAAUGCUAGUUCAGUGAGUCCAGGUGGUUGAUUAUCAGAGUGUUCCAUCUUGUUUCCAAUUGGGGUUGCUGUAGGUGAUCUGGAAGUGUGAUUUUGAGUCUUGUUUAUGUGUCUUCUCAUUUUGAUGGGGGCAGUGCAGCUGGUGCCCUUGUGGCUCACUUCACUUGUGCUGGGAGUGGUUGUAUGUUGGCCAAGAAGCCUACCCUUCUGCUCUAGGACUGAUGGCACAUCAACCCAGAAGCAUCCUUCUCUGUGCUGGGAGACAUGGCACAUUGACCCGAAAGCCUCCUCCUCUGCACUGGGAGCAGUGGCACAUUGACCCAGAAGCCUCCUCCUCUGUGCUAUGAGUGGUAGGACACUGGCCUGGAAGGCUCCUCUUCUGCUCUUGGAGUGGUCUUGCUGAUAUUUUAAAACAAUCCUGUUGCUUUGUUUCUCUCUAUUGAUUUCGUGGUAUUAUUUUCUUUCUUUUGCUUGUUUCACCUUGAUAAUCCUUUUCAGUUAUUUUUCAGUUGAAUACAUAAUUGAUAUGAGAUAUUUCUUAGAGUCAGUAACAGCUAUAAUUUUUCUAUAAGAACUGUCACUGAUGCAAACUGUGGAUCAUUUAAAAUUAUAUAUUGACAGAUUAUGCUUAGAUGUAUUUGUGAGGAACUAAGCAGUUUUAUGAUAUAAUACAAUGCCCACAACAAGAAAAUCAAGAUAGUCUUCACAGAUAAUACUACUCAUUUUUCUGGUGAGAAUAUUUUAAAAUUACUGGUAUUGAUUUUAAAAUAUUAAGUUCACUGUGAAUAUCUAUAGUCAUGAGACUGUGAAACAUUUCAAAAACAUUGCUCUUGCUUUCUCACCGAAAUCUGUACCCUUUUACCUUCUCUCCUUUCUCCCCACUCCUCAGCUACUGUCUUCUUCAGUGACAACAAUCAUAUUGUUAUUUCAAAUACAAGUGAAAAGAAAUGAUGCAGAGUACAUAUACCACAAUUUCUUCAUACAUUCAUUCCUGGAUGAACAUUUGGACUGAUUUCAAAUCUUGGCUAUUGUGAAUAAUAUUGGGGUGAACACAGAAGAAAUUUCAUCAUAUGAAUAUCCUUGUGCAGCUUCCUUUGGGACGUUGUUUCACUAUGAAGAUUUAAAGUGUAAAAAGUAACCUUCAUACUGCCAACUGAUCCAAGAAAUCUUCAUCAUUUUAACAGGGAAGACUGAGUUCUUGGUUUUAAAUGUUGCAAUAUUCAUUCUAAGGUUAACUUUAACACACUUUAUACAUCAUUUGAUGCAAUUUUAGUAAGUCUGAAGAUGACACAUAAAAUUUAUUUUAAGAAAUUGCUCUUUCACUGCCUUCUACAACUUUGUAAUAUUCUCUUAGACUCUCUGUUAGUCUUCCUCUGUGCCACUGUGGAACAGUGCAUCAUUCUAGGUUAGGGCAGAAAUUACUCUUUUUGCCACUCAAUCAAAACACAUUGUCCUAUGUAAUAUAUUCCUUGGCAAAAAGCAUGUCUUUCCUCAGAGAGAGUUAUUUCUCUUACUAUUUUUACUUUUAUUUUUCUCAUAUUAACAGAAAACUUUAACCAGGCAUUAUAAAUUGCUUUGUAUCAGCAAUUUCUACAUGAGAAACCCUUGAAAAAUUCUAGAACAAUAUAUUUUAUAUUGUGUAUUAUACCAAAUUUAUCAUAGAGCCUCUUAAUUUAAUGUUUUUUGUUCUGUCUUCUGACUGGAUACAUUUAAAUGAUAUUUUGGUCCUCUGAUUUAUUUUAUAGUUGAUCAUAAAUAAUGACUUUUGUGUGGUAAGUUUUAUAACUCUUUCCUGUUCAACUGGAUGUUGUGCUUUUAGUGAUGCAUUGGUUUCUAAUCUCUGUGGAGAAAAUGAAGCUCUUAAAUAGGUCUUGAUAGUGAAUAAUAAAUGAAACUGGUCAGUACAAAGCAUGUGCCUGGUACCAAACAUAAGAAAUCAAAUAUAGUAAUGAAUUUAUCAAUAGGAUUCCUAAGCAAGGAAGAUGAAUAUUAAUGUAGUGGGUGCAAAAGAUACUCAAUGAAAAUAAAAUUUACAACUAAAUUUUCAUAGCCUGUUUCAUGUCAAUUUUGCAUAUGUCCACUUAAUGUUCAAUUUGAAAGUUUACUGUUAAUCUAAAGUUGUUAUUUAAUUUUUGAUGCUGUUUUAUAUUCAUAUUUUGAUUGCUCUGCCAAACAUAUUAAUUUUAAAUAUUAAGUCACCUAAAUCUUAUGUGACAAAAAAAGGGAACAAAAUAUUUUUAUAAAUGUAAUGUUGGAAUUAUAUAUUUUAAUGAUUAACUUAUAUGAAAUAAACAGUCAAAUGACAAUGGUUACAUACCAUGAGUGAUUCAGUAAAAUUCCACACAAGGUCAAUUUCUACUGAGAAAAGUAUGAAGAACUGCUAAAGCAUAUAUUUUGAAGGCAGAACUGAAUGACUUACUAGUAUGACAUAAAAGGGAAAAAACAUUUUGUAGAUUUUUGGUUUUUGCUUUGAAAGUGAAGAAAAACUGGGAAGGAAGUUUGUGUUGUUGAAUCUAGAAUUUGGUUUUCAGAAGGUAAUGAUGAAUCAUUUUAUUAAUUCAUUGAAACUAAAAUGUCAUACAAAUGGAAUUCAUAAAACAUGACAAGAUUUUGAUACAUAAAUUAUACAUACAUUUUUAUUGCAAGGAAGAGAAAUUUGAAAAUAUCCUGAUUAUUAGAUGUAGCCAUAGAAAUUUUAUAGCAUAUCAGAAAUAUAAUAUUAUUACAAUUAUAAAUAGACAUUGUAUUUCUUUUCAUGGUACAUCUGCUGAAGUAUUUAGGAAUAAAUUGUUGUUUCUGUAAACUACUGUCAAAUGCUUCAAAAUAGAGAAAGGAUGAAUAAUGUAUGAUAAAUGAAACCAUAUUGAAUGAAAGCAUUAAAUGAAACCAUUAUAGACUAUUUAUAAACCUGCAUUCCACAUUAUCAUACUAUUCAGUGAAUAUCUCUGUACUAUUAUUUUCAUGAAUUAUUAAAACAAAUAUUUAAGUGAG